CUUGCUUUCUUUGCUGGCGACCGGCGCACGGGUGAGUAACACGUAUCCAACCUGCCCUUUACCCGGGGAUAGCCUUUCGAAAGAAAGAUUAAUACCCGAUAGUAUAAUGAUUCCGCAUGGUUUCAUUAUUAAAGGAUUCCGGUAAAGGAUGGGGAUGCGUUCCAUUAGGUUGUUGGUGAGGUAACGGCUCACCAAGCCUUCGAUGGAUAGGGGUUCUGAGAGGAAGGUCCCCCACAUUGGAACUGAGACACGGUCCAA
This 258-nucleotide ribosomal RNA is filed under the name uncultured bacterium. RNAcentral describes it as "partial 16S ribosomal RNA". It matches the Rfam family "Bacterial small subunit ribosomal RNA", at positions 75 to 334 of the family's 1533-position model. The record is from RNAcentral.